RNAcentral lists this ribosomal RNA (253 nucleotides) under uncultured bacterium. Its description in RNAcentral is "partial 16S ribosomal RNA". It matches the Rfam family "Bacterial small subunit ribosomal RNA", at positions 524 to 776 of the family's 1533-position model. The record is from RNAcentral.
UACGGGGGGGGCAAGCGUUGUUCGGAAUUACUGGGCGUAAAGGGCUCGUAGGCGGCCAACUAAGUCGGAUGUGAAAUCCCCAGGCUUAACCUGGGAACUGCGUCUGAUACUGGAUGGCUUGAGUUUGGGAGAGGGAUGCGGAAUUCCAGGUGUAGCGGUGAAAUGCGUAGAUAUCUGGAGGAACACCGGUGGCGAAGGCGGCAUCCUGGACCAACACUGACACUGAGGAGCGAAAGCCAGGGGAGCAAACGGG